This 253-nucleotide ribosomal RNA is filed under the name uncultured bacterium. RNAcentral describes it as "partial 16S ribosomal RNA". It matches the Rfam family "Bacterial small subunit ribosomal RNA", at positions 524 to 776 of the family's 1533-position model. RNAcentral also lists the same sequence under 1 other name. The record is from RNAcentral.
CACGUAGGAGACAAGCGUUAUCCGGAUUUACUGGGUGUAAAGCGCGUGCAGGCGGUCUGGUAAGUUGGAUGUGAAAGCUCCUGGCUUAACUGGGAGAGGUCGUUCAAUACUGCUGGACUAGAGGAUGGCAGAGGGGAGUGGAAUUCCGAGUGUAGCGGUAAAAUGCAUAGAUAUUCGGAAGAACACCAGUGGCGAAGGCGGCUCUCUGGGCCAUUUCUGACGCUCAGACGCGAAAGCUAGGGUAGCAAACGGG